GACAUAGGUGGCAAACGUUAUCCGGAAUUAUUGGGCGUAAAGGAUGCGUAGAUGGUCUAGUAAGUUAUCAGUGGUAAAUCGGGGCCCAACCUCGUGGAAGUUGGUAAUACUGUUAGACUUGAGUAUCGGAGAGGUUAACGGAACUCCCUGUGGAGCGGUGAAAUGUGUAGAUAUCGGGAGGAACACCGGUGGCGAAGGCGGUUCUCUGGGCCUUACCUGACGCUGAGGAGCGAAAGCGUGGGGAGCGAACAGG
This 253-nucleotide ribosomal RNA is filed under the name uncultured bacterium. RNAcentral's name for it is "partial 16S ribosomal RNA". It matches the Rfam family "Bacterial small subunit ribosomal RNA", at positions 524 to 776 of the family's 1533-position model. The record is from RNAcentral.